GCACCAGUAGAGUAGUAGUUAACUCAUUUCCCUCCCAUCUACCUCUCGGGCAAGGAAGGAAAGGACCCGGGUGCAAAUCCCGGCUGGUGCA
This 91-nucleotide transfer RNA is filed under the name Xylaria acuta. Its description in RNAcentral is "tRNA-Gly". It matches the Rfam family "tRNA". Rfam says of the family: Transfer RNA (tRNA) molecules are approximately 80 nucleotides in length. Their secondary structure includes four short double-helical elements and three loops (D, anti-codon, and T loops). Lineage: Eukaryota; Fungi; Ascomycota; Sordariomycetes; Xylariales; Xylariaceae. The record is from RNAcentral.